AGAAUCAACGCUGGCGGCGUGCCUAACACAUGCAAGUCGAUCGAGAAAGUGGAGCAAUCCAUGAGUAAAGAGGCGCACGGGUGAGUAACACGUGACUAACCUACCUUCGAGUGGGGAAUAACCUAGGGAAACCUGGGCUAAUACCGCAUAAUACCUACGGGUCAAAGCAGCAAUGCGCUGAAUGAGGGGGUCGCGGUCGAUUAGUUAGUUGGCAGGGUAAUGGCCUACCAAGACUGUGAUCGAUA
RNAcentral lists this ribosomal RNA (245 nucleotides) under uncultured bacterium. Its description in RNAcentral is "partial small subunit ribosomal RNA". It matches the Rfam family "Bacterial small subunit ribosomal RNA", at positions 26 to 285 of the family's 1533-position model. The record is from RNAcentral.